RNAcentral lists this long non-coding RNA (414 nucleotides) under Panax ginseng (ginseng). RNAcentral's name for it is "long non-coding RNA (PGIN_LNC005753)". Lineage: Eukaryota; Viridiplantae; Streptophyta; Magnoliopsida; Apiales; Araliaceae. The record is from RNAcentral.
UGCUUUAUAAUUUUAAAGUUUAUUCUACUGAUAUUUUUAUAUUAAUGAUUACUUAUUAAAUACAUUGGUUACCUUCCUGCAAUUGUUGGUUACUGUCUAGUCUAGAUUUGGUUAGUAUAUAAUGCUGACCUGGUUACUGUGUAAAAUUGCAAUGGUUACUGCAUAUUAUUACCCCCAGUUCAUGUUCUGGUUACUAACAUUAUGUAGUUUGGUUACUGUCUGACAUUAAGUUGGUUACUUUACAGACCAUACGCUAACAGUAACCAAAAAUAUACUAAAAGGUUGCUUCAUUUGAUAUACUGAUCGGUGGAAUAUCGCUUAUAAUCUGAAAUUUGAUUGACAAUGUUGUUAUGAAUUAUACAGUUGUAUGAUUGACAAUGCAAAAUGCAUUUGAAAAUAUGUUAUAUAUUCUGG